RNAcentral lists this ribosomal RNA (478 nucleotides) under uncultured bacterium. Its description in RNAcentral is "partial 16S ribosomal RNA". It matches the Rfam family "Bacterial small subunit ribosomal RNA", at positions 28 to 523 of the family's 1533-position model. The record is from RNAcentral.
GACGAACGCUGGCGGCGUGCUUAACACAUGCAAGUCGAACGGUAAGGCCCCUCGGGGUACACGAGUGGCGAACGGGUGAGUAACACGUGGGUGAUCUGCCCUGCACUUCGGGAUAAGCCUGGGAAACUGGGUCUAAUACCGGAUAGGACCCUGGGAUGCAUGUCCUGGGGUGGAAAGCUUUUGCGGUGUGGGAUGGGCCCGCGGCCUAUCAGCUUGUUGGUGGGGUGAUGGCCUACCAGGGCGACGACGGGUAGCCGGCCUGAGAGGGUGACCGGCCACACUGGGACGGAGAUACGGCCCAGACUCCUACGGGAGGCAGCAGUGGGGAAUAUUGCACAAUGGGCGCAAGCCUGAUGCAGCGACGCCGCGUGAGGGAUGACGGCCUUCGGGUUGUAAACCUCUUUCAGCACCGACGAAGCGCAAGUGACGGUAGGUGCAGAAGAAGGACCGGCCAACUACGUGCCAGCCGCCGCCGUAA